This 259-nucleotide ribosomal RNA is filed under the name uncultured prokaryote. RNAcentral describes it as "partial 16S ribosomal RNA". It matches the Rfam family "Bacterial small subunit ribosomal RNA", at positions 524 to 782 of the family's 1533-position model. The record is from RNAcentral.
UACGUAGGUGGCAAGCGUUAUCCGGAAUUAUUGGGCGUAAAGAGCUUGUAGGCGGUUUGUCGCGUCUGCUGUGAAAAUCCGAGGCUCAACCCCGGACUUGCAGUGGGUACGGGCAGACUAGAGUGUGGUAGGGGAGACUGGAAUUCCUGGUGUAGCGGUGAAAUGCGCAGAUAUCAGGAGGAACACCGAUGGCGAAGGCAGGUCUCUGGGCCACUACUGACGCUGAGAAGCGAAAGCAUGGGGAGCGAACAGGAUUAGA